AACGAACGCUGGCGGCAUGCCUAACACAUGCAAGUCGAACGAAGCCUUCGGGCUUAGUGGCGCACGGGUGCGUAACGCGUGGGAAUCUGCCCCUUGCUUCGGAAUAACAGUUAGAAAUGACUGCUAAUACCGGAUGAAGUCUUCGGACCAAAGAUUUAUCGGCAAGGGAUGAGCCCGCGUAGGAUUAGGUAGUUGGUGGGGUAAAGGCCUACCAAGCCGACGAUCCUUAGCUGGUCUGAGAGGAUGAUCAGCCACACUGGGACUGAGACACGGCCCAGACUCCUACGGGAGGCAGCAGUGGGGAAUAUUGGACAAUGGACGCAAGUCUGAUCCAGCAAUGCCGCGUGAGUGAUGAAGGCCUUAGGGUUGUAAAGCUCUUUUACCAGGGAUGACAAUGACAGUACCUGGAGAAUAAGCUCCGGCUAACUCCGUG
RNAcentral lists this ribosomal RNA (433 nucleotides) under uncultured bacterium. RNAcentral describes it as "partial 16S ribosomal RNA". It matches the Rfam family "Bacterial small subunit ribosomal RNA", at positions 29 to 507 of the family's 1533-position model. The record is from RNAcentral.